RNAcentral lists this ribosomal RNA (253 nucleotides) under uncultured bacterium. RNAcentral's name for it is "partial 16S ribosomal RNA". It matches the Rfam family "Bacterial small subunit ribosomal RNA", at positions 524 to 776 of the family's 1533-position model. The record is from RNAcentral.
GACAGAGGGUGCAAACGUUGUUCGGAAUUACUGGGCGUAAAGCGCGUGUAGGUGGCGAGGCAAGUCGGGUGUGAAAGCCCUGGGCUCAACCCAGGAAGUGCACUCGAUACUGCCUAGCUAGAGUCCCGGGGAGGUUGGUGGAACUCUCGGUGUAGAGGUGAAAUUCGUAGAUAUCGAGAAGAACACCGGUGGCGAAGGCGGCCAACUGGACGGUGACUGACACUGAGACGCGAAAGCGUGGGGAGCAAACAGG